CCUUGCAUCUUUUAUUAAACGCCCCACCUCCAGGAGAACGUGCCUUUCACGACUGAGAGAGGUGGCAACCCCUUCGCCGGGUAGGCGGUGAAGUCACCAUGGGCAGGCAGUUGGCGGGUGACCUCGGUCGUGAAAAGCUUGAGUGUGGGCUGAGGGAGAUUAUUGUACCUUAUGAAUUUGGUGCUUUUUAUACGUUCACUGUGUUGUAAACCCUGUUUUGAUUAUAUUGAACUCCGCCGUGAUUCUGUGCACCGUAUAACAGACAAUAAAGCAGUCGAAGACGGAUCCUGGUCUCUCUUUACUCCUGCAGAACUUGGAGGUUAAUUUUGCCCGGCUUUCCCCUCAUGCCCAUAUUCAUGGCCUAUAAUUUGCGACUGAGGAAUAUUCGUCAGCUCCUGUAGCAAGGGAAAUCGCGCAGGCACCAGUCGUCCCAGGAUGCUGUGGUUGGGUGCUGCCUGCCUGGAUGACUGCAGAUCCAGUCAACUCAAUGCCCGACGUGGUAAGGUUGGCCUAGCCUUUGCCUCAGGCAGGUCGGCCUGACACAUGACCCCGCGCUCACCCAUAGACAUCGUCUUGUGUGUUCCCUUACUGUGCUGUACUCUUCAUCAAUAAAGAGUCAGGCC
Penaeus monodon (black tiger shrimp) is the source of this 623-nucleotide long non-coding RNA. RefSeq lists it as uncharacterized. The record is from RefSeq and is a predicted model, not a curated record. The transcript is spliced from 2 exons. NCBI's taxonomy places the organism in Eukaryota, Metazoa, Arthropoda, Malacostraca, Decapoda, Penaeidae.